UAACCUGCCCAAGAGAUCGGGAUAACACCUGGAAACAGAUGCUAAUACCGGAUAAUAACAGAUGAUGCCUAUCAACUGUUUAAAAGAUGGUUCUGCUAUCACUCUUGGAUGGACCUGCGGUGCAUUAGCUAGUUGGUAGGGUAACGGCCUACCAAGGCGAUGAUGCAUAGCCAGUUGAGAGACUGAUCGGCCACAUUGGGACUGAGACACGGCCCAAACUCCUACGGGAGGCAGCAGCC
RNAcentral lists this ribosomal RNA (239 nucleotides) under uncultured Lactobacillus sp. Its description in RNAcentral is "partial 16S ribosomal RNA". It matches the Rfam family "Bacterial small subunit ribosomal RNA", at positions 122 to 355 of the family's 1533-position model. The record is from RNAcentral. Lineage: Bacteria; Bacillati; Bacillota; Bacilli; Lactobacillales; Lactobacillaceae.